GACCCAGAACCAGAUGAUAUAGCUCUUAAUCCUGGUUUCUGUCCACAUAUUAAAUUAUGACAUAUACCUAAAGAAGCACCUAGGACCCAGGCAGAAGAGGGACAUCAUCUGAGUGCUGAGCCCUGCGAUACAUCAAAAUUUCAUAGGCAUAGUUCGGGGAAAAAAAAAGAAGAGUCAUGUUAUAUGGAGUCUCGCUCUGCCGCCCAGGUUGGAGUACAGUGGCCGGAUCUCAGCUCACUGCAAGUUCCGCCUCCCAGGUUUACGCCAUUCUCCUGUCUCAGUCUCCCGAGUAGCGACAUUGACAGUUCUUACUGUCUGCUGGGUGAGCACGUGAGAGUCAAAAUUUGACUCUUCUGCUGGGUUCUGUUAUGACAUUCUCUGUACAAUCCAAGGGCUUUAGAAAUAACUAAGGCUGCUAUAAUCUUCUGUGACCUAUUUACUAGAAAGAGAUUUAGUCACUCGUAUUUCUAAAACAAAUUAUGAGAGUCACAAUAACUUCUAUUCUUGGGAUCCACAUAUAAGAAUCAUUAUCAGGCCUGUGAGUUGUGCCUAGGUACAUUUACUCUUUGGUAACGAAGCAGGCAAAACAGUCACAAACCUAAAUGCUUAGGCAAAACAUGUUUUAAUAUUCUCCUUUUAGGCAAAUUCCUGGCAGAAAAAUUGCAUAACUUUGGGGCUACACCCAACUGUAUGGCACAAUGCCCCUUGUGGGCAGUGUCCAGGCAUAUGAGGAGAGUCAGAUCACCUAAAUAAUAGGCCUAGAGAUCUGUCACAAUGUGUUCUGUUUAGAGGUCCAGACACGAGCGUCAUAUUACUUGGAUGCCGUGCUUAGAAAUGCUAUAAUUCCCAGUGGAAGCAGGAUCCAGGCAGGAGAGGAGAGUCAAGUAACCAAGAUGAUAGGUCCAGAGACAUGUUACAAUCCUUCCUGGGGUAUUGUUAAGACAGGAGAGUUAAAUCACAAAGAUGCUUAGCUGAGGUAUAUGUCCAAACCUUAAUUGUGGGUUACACCUAGGCAGAAUCAUGUUAUCACUUAAGAGCUUGGUAAAAGUA
Non-coding RNA from Macaca mulatta (Rhesus monkey), 1050 nucleotides. The record is from RefSeq and is a predicted model, not a curated record. NCBI's taxonomy places the organism in Eukaryota, Metazoa, Chordata, Mammalia, Primates, Cercopithecidae.